CCUACGGGAGGCUGCAGUGGGGAAUCUUGCGCAAUGGGCGAAAGCCUGACGCAGCGACGCCGCGUGGGGGAGGAAGGGCUUCGGCUUGUAAACCCCUGUUGCCCGGGACGAAUCCCUGGUUUCGACCAGGUUGACGGUACCGGGUGAGGAAGCACCGGCUAACUCCGUGCCAGCAGCCGCGGUAAUACGGAGGGUGCGAGCGUUGUCCGGAAUCACUGGGCGUAAAGGGCGCGUAGGUGGUCUUUUAAGCGUGUGGUGAAAGCUCGGGGCUCAAC
Molecule: ribosomal RNA, 275 nt
Filed under: uncultured Gemmatimonas sp.
Lineage: Bacteria; Pseudomonadati; Gemmatimonadota; Gemmatimonadia; Gemmatimonadales; Gemmatimonadaceae
Description: partial 16S ribosomal RNA
Rfam family: Bacterial small subunit ribosomal RNA
Source: RNAcentral